RNAcentral lists this ribosomal RNA (301 nucleotides) under uncultured bacterium. RNAcentral's name for it is "partial 16S ribosomal RNA". It matches the Rfam family "Bacterial small subunit ribosomal RNA", at positions 509 to 807 of the family's 1533-position model. The record is from RNAcentral.
CAGUAGCCGCGGGAAUACGGAGGGGGCUAGCGUUGUUCGGAAUUACUGGGCGUAAAGCGCACGUAGGCGGCUUGGUAAGUUAGAGGUGAAAGCCUGGAGCUCAACUCCAGAGUUGCCUUUAAGACUGCCGAGCUAGCAGGUGAGAGAGGUAAGUGGAAUUCCGAGUGUAGAGGUGAAAUUCGUAGAUAUUCGGAAGAACACCAGUGGCGAAGGCGGCUUACUGGCUCAUACUGGACGCUGAGGUGCGAAAGCGUGGGGAGCAAACAGGAUUAGAUACCCCAGUAGUCCCUGUCUCUUAUAC